AGAUAAAGCAGCACAGGCUUCUACAAUGGAAUGGAAUUGUACACAGUUCCUGCCUCCUAAAAAGGCGUGGUCAGAAUGCGCUGACGCUACCUCGUUGAUGAAAACGUCAAAGAUUUUUCAUUUUCGCGCCUCUCUCUUGCUGUGACCAACUGGAGCUGGCCUGGGUGACUGAAUUUGGUACAUCGUCCUGGCAAGAUGCGGUCUGAUUUCCAGUUGUUGGACGAGCAGAAGGACGCUAUGGAUGCAACCUGAAGGUCCAAGACUCAAUCCACUGAAGGCUCUCCGUAAGAUGGUGGAUCUGAUGUCUGCUUUGUGGUCCUAUAGGACGACGCCAUGGAUUGGGGUCAGAGAUGCGCCUGAGAAGUGCUGUAAAUGCUGGCCAUAUGACUUCAACCUUCAUCCAACCAAACGAAGAGAUCCUGCUUUCCUACACUCCAUUCAGGAUGUUAGUUAAUUC
Alosa alosa (allis shad) is the source of this 457-nucleotide long non-coding RNA. RefSeq lists it as uncharacterized. The record is from RefSeq and is a predicted model, not a curated record. NCBI's taxonomy places the organism in Eukaryota, Metazoa, Chordata, Actinopteri, Clupeiformes, Clupeidae. The transcript is spliced from 4 exons.